Molecule: long non-coding RNA, 560 nt
Organism: Pongo pygmaeus (Bornean orangutan)
Lineage: Eukaryota; Metazoa; Chordata; Mammalia; Primates; Hominidae
Exons: 4
Source: RefSeq, a predicted model, not a curated record
GAAGCCGCCUCAGCCGCCAUGUUCACUGUGGGACGAUAGCUGCCUCUCCAGCCGGACGCGAUGCCUGGAGGCUGCGGGCGCGGUCCUGCUGCCUGAAGCCCGAGACUGCCUCACUAGUCCUACUCCAGUUCCAGCCCAGCCCUUAAAAGAUGCACAGAGUUUCCAUGGGAGGCCAUGAGAUUCACUCACUUCAGUGCUAUCGUUUAAGACUGGUGGCAGUGGCUUGCCUGCCCUUCAUUUCUCCAGCCUUCCAAUGGUGGGGUAAUCUUCAGCACUCUUUACCAAGUCCCCGUGAGGUCCUUUUUUUUUUUUUUUUUUUUUUAAAGACAGAGUCUCACCCUGUCGACCAGGCUGGAGUGCAAUGGUAUGAUCUCGGCUCACUGCAACCUCUGCCUCCUGGGUUCAAGCGAUUCUUCUCCCUCAGCCUCCCAAGUAGCUGGGUUUACAGGUAGACGAGAAAGAUGUCUGAGAGCAUGGGUCUUGAUUAAUCUUGAUCAGAGUUCCUGAGCACAAAGGAUAUGCCCUCCAUUUCCUUCCUAAUAAAACAAUUGGUCCAAUUC